Molecule: long non-coding RNA, 3866 nt
Filed under: Malus domestica (apple)
Lineage: Eukaryota; Viridiplantae; Streptophyta; Magnoliopsida; Rosales; Rosaceae
Description: long non-coding RNA (MDOM_LNC019437)
Source: RNAcentral
UCAAUGGGCUUGACGUUCGAAGCCCAUUGGGCCUUAAGGCCCAAAACUAACCCUAGGUCUUUUAACGAAUUUUAUUUGUUUGAUUAAUUAACAUAUUAAUUAAUCCUUGCCAUAAAUAAUUAAACCAUUUAAUUAUUCUUACUCAUCUCCGUUGUUUCUUCAAUCUUUACCUUACACGGUGUACGAUCCAUUAGGUUCCUUUUAGCGAGGCAGUGGGCGAUUAGAACUCUUUCAAAUCGAUUAUGAAUUGAAACUUACUUUCAAUUCUCCCUUUAGUGAUUAUACACGUUUAGGGCUUCCACAAACCAUGAGUGACACCUAGCAGUAUGUCAUGGUUACCCAAGCUAAUCAGAAGAGGUGGGGAACCUAUUCAGUUUAGGAUUACAAUGCAAUACGGUCUUUUUCUAAUACAAUACUCUUGACCACAUUGUUUGGAUUGAUAGUUUAUUCAUGUCUACUAUCCAAUGUGAUUCAUUUACUUAUAUGAUUACCUUGAAUGUGAUUUGGAAUGACUUCCUAAAUCUCAUUCAUACUCUGGCCAGAGAUUCUUAAUCAUAUCAUAGAGUAUUCUCCUUCAAACGGUUUGAAGGUUAGAGAUCCCUUGUUGCGCAUUCACUUGCCUCCAUGGCUAAGUGGCUUGACUCCAACUAGGUCGUGGACACCCUCUGAUGGAGUGACUUUGACAUAGUCAAAGAUCAAGGACUUAACCACAAGACAACUAUGAUGCCUCAGGUCAAAUGACUACUUUGCAUUAUCCCAGCCAUGAGUUCUCAUGUGACAUGAGUAUGAGAACUCCUCGUUGAUUGUGUUCAGUGGACUCAUUCGCUAUUGAGCACCUACAUGCUUGUUUUGGUGUCAAUCGCACCAAUGACUCGAGACCAGUCACUCUCCAUGAGAGAAGACACAGCACGUACUAAUCUUAACGGACUGUCAAUGCCCAAUUGGCAAUCCUAUGAUCAGGAACGUUUAGGAUAUGUAUAUGAAAGAGAAUGGUCUCAUAAAUCUAACUUGUUUAAAUUACAUUCUCCUAAUUACAUAUUCCUUGGACUUAUCGUUUAAGCAUAUAACAUUUAUAUGAGACGGCUUAAAACAAUAAUCUUUGCCCUUGAUAUUAAACUAGAUUAGUUUAACAUGUGAAAUGUCUGUAAAGUAUCAUCACAUGAUUGGUUUUAGGGCAUAUUUCCAACAAUCUCCCACUUGCACUAGAGCCAAUCAGCUUGGUCAUCAGUGAUGAUACCUCUUAUUUAGUCAUUUCAAAAAUGGCUAAGUAGUAGGCCUAGACAAUGGAUAUCUAUAUGUUAUCCAUAGAAGCAACCUUGAGAAUAACGACGUCACCAUUAUACAUGAUUCUCAAUCAUGUGGUUCAAUCUCUCAUUUGAGUUCGAAUCUUGAUGAGACCUUGAUUCCCUGGCUUGAGCUAUCGCCCCAUUAGUGUCGUAGUGUCGGUACACUAGAGACACUUUCUGGUUGGAACCGAAUAGAGAGUUCAUGAAUGAACUUUCUCAUCCAAACAACAUUGUUGUAAGCUUCUAUAUGGCAAUAUAUUUUGCAUUCACAAUGGAACACACUAAAGUCAUUACUUUUAAUGUUUCCAUCCAAAUAUCUCUUUAGUCAUAAUAAAGAGAUAUCUGAUUAUCUCUUCAUUCAUAAUGAAAAACAUCCAAUGAUGGAUUAGAUUCAUAAUCUAAUACAUUUACGCUUCCAUUACGUUAUUCUAAUUCUUCCUCAUUCUGUGAGGAAUCUAUCCUUUAGUAUUUCUUAAAUACUUAAGGACUCACUUGACAUUUGCCAUGGUUCUGAUCCUGGGCUUGCACUAAUAUCGUCUUGUACCUUUCUAGGUACAACUCAUAUCAAUGUUUUCAUACAAUAUGAAAUACAUAAAUCACCUUUCUGCGUAUGUAUAAAGGAUUCUAUUUACGCAUUAUUUCUUUGGGAGUCAAAGGGUAUGUUCCCUUUGAGAAGAGCUACCUCCUAGUCUUACUAGCGUUGUUCUUCUGAUUGAAGUUUAUCAUCAUAUGAGAAACUUCCUAGCAUCUUUUGUCUAUCAUUAGGGCUUGAUAUAAUCCAAUUAUAUCCUGAAAUCUAUCAUUAUAGAUUUACAUCCCAUGUUUAUAGACUAUGUCUCCCAUAUACAUUCUAUCGUUGUAGAAUGUUUAAAGUUAUAACUUUAACGAAGAAGUAUUCUUUUUCAUUUCCAAAAUUAAUAUAUCAUAUAUUUGUAUAUAUAUAUUCAAAUUUAGGAACAUGAUUAACUCCCACUAAUCUUUUGUAAACCUAGUAAACAAAAGAUUCAUUUACAUCUUUAUGAGAAAUCAAACGAUUUGAUCUUUCUCUCAUAAGACAUUUAUAUAGCUCCCACUAGCUUGCUAAGAUCCAUGAUGGAUGGAUCUCUACAACUUACAUGUCUUGUGAUUCAUAGUUUUAGACAUAUAUUAUCAAGACUAUCUUAAUAAUGGUUUCGGAAACCCAUAUUUUGUCCAAACAUUGAAUCACCAUUUAGUUAUAACUAGCAAUCUUCGAAUUAAUUGAAACCAAGACUACGUCAAAGAUGGUUUCUUCCAAGUCAACCAAUCUCUUUAAUUGUAGUCACCUUAAGCUACCAAUUAGCUAUAAAGGUUUCAUUAUUUCGGGUCAAAUGGUACUUUACCAUUUCCUUGAGUAUAUGUCGUAUAUGAACUUAAUGUAGUCAUAAGGAUUUUCAUUCUUAUUUCUUUCGAAUUAAGAGGUGUAACUCUAUGACAUAGUCAUAAAGUUCAAACCAUUCAACUGAGACAGUUUAUAAAUCCUUCUCGACUACCUUGGAGCUUGUGUCGUAGGAACUAGGUUGUUAUAUUUGUUGAUUAUCAUCUUGUCUCUCAAAGAACCCAUUCUUUGAGUUCUAUCUCUCAUUCAUUUGCGUUAGGCAAAUCAUAUUGUAGGAUUACAAUGAACUACCCAACAAACAACAUUUGUUAGUUGGUUUAUAGAAGUGAUAUUCAAAUGUUAAUUUAAGGAUACCCACAAGAUAAUUCUUUAAAAAAAUAUUGCUUAUUAGCACACAAUCCCAAAUCUUAACAUGAUUAAGAUUUGUCUUUCUUUCCAACUAUAUCCUAUGGACUCAUGAAAAUUUUGGAAGAUCUUCUAAUUGACAAUCAUAUUGUCUUAGAAUUAUAUAUCCUAUAUAUGGGCAAUUGAUAACAUCCAACGAACUAAAUCUUAUUUCGAGUUCGUUCUUCUCUUAAUGGAGAAAUCCAUUAUCAUAUGAUGCUUCUUUCCUUGAUAUCUUUUAAGGAAACUGUUCUAAAGUGUUACCUUUCCUUGGAUCAAAUAUAAGGAGGUAAAUACUUUAGACAUCUUACUCAUCAACUUACAUUUCUUGAAUUCUUUGAAACCUUUUGCAAAGUAUUCGGACUUGUGUUUAUUCAAAAAAAUGAUAGUCCAACGAGAGCGAUCUUCGGUGAAUGUCAUACAACAUGAGUAGUAUUAUGUUGUGGACAAGUGCCACUAACAUCUAAGUGAAUUAACCUCAACACUUUGUGAAAUAUAUAAGCACACAAAAAACCCUCUUUUGUCAAAUUGUAGUAAAGAUGUAAGUAGGGAUCGUUCUAGACCGGGGAUUAGGAGGGAUUGCUAAACACUUGGAAAACUGACUUAAAACUCAAAAACAAAGUUUAAAACACUAAACUAGACUCAAAGAAUGCAAAACUAAAGGUUAAAAAACACUUAAACAAACCUAAAACUCAAAACAGCAACCUAAUGACUCAAAACUGCCUAAAAACCACUUUCUGGGCAGUUUUGAGAACCUAACAAGAACUUGGACGAAUUUGGAUGAAAACUUGAAUCAAAACACUUAGAAACACAAAUCAAAACACUUUCUAACUAAUCUA